UUCCGGUUGAUCCUGCCGGACCUGACUGCUAUCGGAUUGAUACUAAGCCAUGCGAGUCAUUGUAGCAAUACAAGGCAGACGGCUCAGUAACGCGUAGUCAACCUACCCUAUGGACGGGGAUAACCUCGGGAAACUGAGAAUAAUACCCGAUAGAACAUUAUGCCUGGAAUGGUUUAUGUUUCAAAUAAUUUAUUGCCGUAGGAUGGGACUGCGGCCUAUCAGUUUGUUGGUGAGGUAAUGGCCCACCAAGACUAUUACAGGUACGGGCUCUGAGAGGAGUAGCCCGGAGAUGGGUACUGAGACACGGACCCAGGCCCUAUGGGGCGCAGCAGGCGAGAAAACUUUGCAAUGUGCGAAAGCACGACAAGGUUAAUCCGAGUGGUUUCUGCUAAAGGAACCUUUUGUCAGUCCUAGAAACACUGAUGAAUAAGGGGUGGGCAAGUUCUGGUGUCAGCCGCCGCGGUAAAACCAGCACCUCAAGUGGUCAGGAUGAUUAUUGGGCCUAAAGCAUCCGUAGCCUGCUUUGUUAGUUUUCGGUUAAAUCCAUACGCUCAACGUAUGGGCUGCCGGGAAUACUGCAAAGCUAGGGAGUGGGAGAGGUAGACGGUACUCGGUAGGAAGGGGUAAAAUCCUUUGAUCUAUUGAUGACCACCUGUGGCGAAGGCGGUCUACCAGAACACGUCCGACGGUGAGGGAUGAAAGCUGGGGGAGCAAACCGGAUUAGAUACCCGGGUAGUCCCAGCUGUAAACUAUGCAAACUCGGUGAUGCAUUGGCUUGAUGCCAAUGCAGUGCCGCAGGGAAGCCGUUAAGUUUGCCGCCUGGGAAGUACGUACGCAAGUAUGAAACUUAAAGGAAUUGGCGGGGGAGCACCACAAGGGGUGAAGCCUGCGGUUCAAUUGGAGUCAACGCCGGA
Molecule: ribosomal RNA, 914 nt
Filed under: uncultured crenarchaeote
Lineage: Archaea; Thermoproteati; Thermoproteota
Description: bacterial SSU rRNA
Rfam family: Archaeal small subunit ribosomal RNA
Source: RNAcentral